This 22-nucleotide unclassified non-coding RNA is filed under the name Mus musculus (house mouse). RNAcentral describes it as "oocyte_clustered_small_RNA9752". Lineage: Eukaryota; Metazoa; Chordata; Mammalia; Rodentia; Muridae. The record is from RNAcentral.
UAUCUGGUGCGCUCUAAGGGCA